AUGAACGCUGGCGGCGUGCCUAAUACAUGCAAGUCGAGCGAACAGACGAGGAGCUUGCUCCUCUGACGUUAGCGGCGGACGGGUGAGUAACACGUGGAUAACCUACCUAUAAGACUGGGAUAACUUCGGGAAACCGGAGCUAAUACCGGAUAAUAUAUUGAACCGCAUGGUUCAAUAGUGAAAGACGGUUUUGCUGUCACUUAUAGAUGGAUCCGCGCCGCAUUAGCUAGUUGGUAAGGUAACGGCUUACCAAGGCAACGAUGCGUAGCCGACCUGAGAGGGGGAUGCCCCACACGGAAAGUGAAACACGGUCCAGACCCCUAGGGGGGGCAGCAGUAGGAAAUUUGCCGAAAGGGGCGAAGGCCUGACGGGGCAACGCCGCGUGAGUAAUAAAGGUCUUGGGAUCGUAAAACUCUUUUAUUGGGGAAAAACAAAUGUGUAAGUAACUAUGCACUUCUUGACGAUACCAAAACAAAAAGCCGCGGCUAACUGCG
This 494-nucleotide ribosomal RNA is filed under the name uncultured bacterium. Its description in RNAcentral is "partial 16S ribosomal RNA". It matches the Rfam family "Bacterial small subunit ribosomal RNA", at positions 29 to 505 of the family's 1533-position model. The record is from RNAcentral.